AAUAAACCCUAGAUGAUGGCGAUUGAAGAAACCGAACAACCCAGGGUUUCUCUGUGACCAUGACGGCUGCGGGUGUAGGUUCCACUGGUGAUGUCCAGACGAUUUUGAUGUUUCAGCAUGUAUGAAAGAAGAAGAAAUCAAUAGAUUUUCCAGCGGAGAAAGGAAAAGUGAUCAUCUUAUGGUUUGUGCAGAGACGGGGAACGAAAGCUUUAUUAAACACUUCUAGGAAGUGAUUAUGCCAAUGGAUAAGAAGCAGAAGUUUUUGGGAUCGGAUACUUCGGAUUAUGAAAAAGUGAUCGACUUUGAUGUAUGUUCAGAGAGUACUAGAAAUUUUAAGGUUGUCUUGUGCAAAAGUGCUGGUAAAAGAAUAUGUUUAGGGAAGACUAAAAUAGGGUUGAAUUAUGGGAAUGGAAUGAAUGUAGGAUGAUGGUCAACUCGAUAUCCGUGUCGGAUGUAAAAGACAAGUGGGAAUGGUUGGGGGAGGCAUCUGGUAAAUUCUCUCUGGGUUCGGUGAAAAGGUUUCUAAUCGCCAAUGAAGAUUAUAGUUCGAACUAGGUGAUGAAUUGGUGCAAAUGGUUACCGGCGAAGUGCAACAUAUUUAUUAGGGGGUUGCUCUUAAUCAGCUUUCAACUAGAUCAGCUCUGCAGCGGAGGAACAUUAUGGUGGAGGACGGUACCUAUGCAUUAUGAAGUAAAGAUAUUGUUUUCAUGUUUUGAUGACAAUCCAAAUUUGACUAAGAGGAAAAUCGAAGCUGGAGUUUACUGCAGGAUAAUCGAAACAAGAGCUGGAUUGUUGGAGAUAGGAGUUUGCUGGCUUCUUCAGCAACCAUGGCGAUAGGAAUGUUUUUAACAAGAAAAGGUUUGGAUGCGGCUGUACAUGAUCAACAAUGCAUGAAGGGACUGGUAUGUACACUACCAAUGGAGGUCCUUACCAGAACCGUGCAACAGUUACAGAGGGCGUGAAAGAGGCAGAGGAUCCGGGCCACCAUUCACACAUUCCAACACAAAGAAACUUCAGGAGCAGAUUGUCAACUAAAAAGUGAAGUUGCUAUCGUGGUUAAGUGGUGAAGCUCACUCUUUGCUUAAAGGGGUAAGUCACUUAGUCAUGAUUAACCUCUUACUAUGCACGUUAAUCGCUAGAACUAUUUAAACUUCAUGUGUUUAUAUACGACAAUUGUUGCAAAAGGACCCGACGCUAAGGCUUGGAAGCUGGACUCGAGGUUGUCGUCAUAUCAAAAAUCAUAAAUGGGUCAAGGAAAUAACAAGUGAAUCUUAAAGAAAAACUGGUUUCAAGAUGGGUAUACAUUUCAAAGCAGACUAGACUCACUUUAUCAACACCAGAGAUGGACAACAAAUUUCUACUCGGGUUAGGGUAUCCCCUAUUUUAAUCAAGUCAAUGUAUGCAUCAAGUUCAAAAAGAAGAACUGUUUGUUGGAAAAUAUUUUUUUUGAAAGUAAAAUAAAAAGUCAACAUUUCUUUUUUCAAUAAUAUUUUGGUUUUGUUUGAAUGGGUAGUUAAUAAGGCCACAGGCGAUGGUUGGUAUGGUUUAGGAUUUGGAGAGUGAGAUCUUACAGUGGACGUGUGAAGUUAUAUAUGCAAUUUGUUUAGUCCAGAGUAGUGAACAAUUGGGCUUAUGACAUAAAUGGUAAAAUCAAGUUAGAAGAUGCUGGAUUUGACUGGUAAAUCCAUUCAAGAGGUACAUAAAUGUUGAGCAAGCAAAAUAGAUGGGUUGGGUAACAGACUAACAGGUUAAAAUGAGUUUGCGUCAAUACAGCUAAACUUUUGGUCUGGGCUGAAGUGAGAAUUAUGAGUUUUAUACAUUUGUUUAUCCCUUCUUUUUAGAUAAGUUGAACUUUUGGCAUUUUCUUUUCAUUAGGUAUGUAUUUUUAUUAUUUUCAUAAAAAAUAACCAUAUCCUUAAUAUUUCACCUUUUGUAUUAUAUCAUUCUUUUAUCUCUAAAUAUCCUCUGUGUUUUAUAACGAGCCCCUCCUCACUAUGCUUCAAAUACUAAUUAGGUAUGUCAUGUGUCUAUUAUUUCAUUAUCUUCAAAGUUCGGUUAUAUUUAAGACUUGGGAAACCUGUAACCGUAGAUUUGAGAGGCAAAGUAUACGAGUAUGUAUUUUUUUAUUUUUGUAAGUAUUCUAAAUUUCUGUGUUCAAGGGGAUUGUAAACCUGCCAACGUAUUUACUAAUGCAAGUCGUAAAAGUAACACCCCAAAGAGCCACGAGUUGCCUGAUUUUUUUACAAUAUGAAGUAUUUAGAGAUUUAUGCACUAUAACCGUAAACUUUUCAAUUUUCAUUCUUAUAUAUAAUAAGUAUCAUAAGUUAAGAAUAAUUAUGAAUUUAUUAUUUUUGAAAUAGUUCUUUUACUGUUUGUGUUUACUUAAAGGUUAGAUGGGCUCUCGAGUGGAAACAGGCGCUGACCUAGGGUGAAUUUGAGGAUGAGGUGCAUCUAAUUUUGGGGCUGGUGCAUAUUACGCAUCUUAAGGACGAGUUGGACAGGUUGGGUUGGCUGUACUGAGGAAUGUUGGCGGAGUUCACAUUAAAACAAAUCAGGUUUUAGUUUACUAGGGGUCCAAAUAAUAAUACAAGUCAUAAUGUGUUCUACUGGAAUAAGAUUGCAGUUCCAAAAGUUAGUUGUUUUGUUCAGAUAGCGGUUAACGGCAACAUUCCAACGGCUAUGGGCCUUGUGGCGAGGGUCGUUGAGAUGAGAACUGUCCCAUGUAUGGUAUACGGGAGGAGACUGCAGAUUAUUUACUUGCAGGUUGUAUAAGUGCUACAGCGAUAUGUUGGAGCAUGCUUUUAAAAUGAACAAACCAGCAAAGGAGAACCCUAUUAUCUAUGUGUUUUUCUUAAUAACCAUUUGGAAUAUGUGUAUGUGUCAAAAUGACAAGGUUUUUAGAGGAAAAGUAUGUCCUGAUGCAACAGUUUUGUUAGAGGAAAAGUAUGUCCUGAUGCAACAGUUUUGUUAGAGGAAAAGUCUAUUCUUGAUGACCAUUUGGAAAAUGCGGACGCGUCAAAGUGCGGGUCUGUCCUUGAAUAGCUGGAGCAAUUUUGAUGUUAGUUUAUGACAUUCAUGCAGGUUUUAGCAUUAUUAUUAUUUUUUGGGUUAUGUACAUUUAUUUUUGUGUU
Long non-coding RNA from Helianthus annuus (common sunflower), 3131 nucleotides. RefSeq lists it as uncharacterized. The transcript is spliced from 7 exons. The record is from RefSeq and is a predicted model, not a curated record. Lineage: Eukaryota; Viridiplantae; Streptophyta; Magnoliopsida; Asterales; Asteraceae.